AUCUCGGCGAUAACGGCUGUCGCGGUCCAGUGGCGACGAGCGAUGACGUACGCGGCACACGAUGGAAAGAUGCCUGCAGGCACAGCAGCGCAUGCGCCGACGGCUGAAAAUUGCGCUUCAGUUUUGCUCUAAGAAGGGGGCCGCCGAGUGACCCGCCAGUCAUCUUGUGUUUGACGCCGCAGGCGCCCGUGUCUCAGCAUCUUAUACUACACAUGCUUCUGCCGCGAUUGUCGACGUUAGGCGCGGCGUACACCACUUCACCGACCCCCGAAACAGCCAUGGGUUCCGCCGCUGCCUUUCUGUUGUGCUUCGAAGCCUUAAGUCGCGGCGCUGCUCCACUUGUGGCCAGGACUUUUGCAAUUGCGGUCACGGGACUCUGUUUUGCUCCGGAAUGCUCGCACGGCCCGUUAGAGCUCGCGGAAUGUGCGUGUGCGACGCGCGGCGGCCAUUCCAUCCGUUCUCCUGCACGAGCUGUCGGGUCUAACGCCGACGACGCCCUGCCGACAAGUCUGAAGUGGCGCCUGCCGCGGUCUUUUCUUUUGUGCGCGUGUUCCCACCAACGAACUGGACGUGUCACUUAAACCGAGAGACAACGAGGCAACUGUCGUCGCCAUGUGCUUCAACUACCUUGCGAGGUGAAGUUCGUGCAACCAAGCGACCGUGGCGCUACCCUGAGGGCCAACGGAGCAACUGUCGUCGCCGCGUCGCAUCGGCAUCUCAGUCUCCGAGGUGCGAGUGUUUAGCUUGCGAGGGCGGCGCGGCCAUUAACUUCCUCAUCAAAACUGAUUGACAACAUUGGCAAAUUGUGUGCAGUUAACUGUAUAGUGCUUCAUUAGGCACGAGCUUCCUCGGACGGCCGCAGCCACAUCGGGUCGUCGCCGUGACGGAAGCGGAGAGGACGGGGUGGGGCGACUCCAUAGCUUCAGGCUGAGCUAACACUAGGCAGGGUAGCCGACGCAGCGCAGGCCACAGCUGGCAGGAGUCCUCUCUCUCUCGUUUGCGACACGGCCAUCGACCCGUUCCGAUUGCCUAUCGCUUCCCGGCCACAAUUUCGCGUCCACGCGCGCGAAAGGGCGCGAAAUGUGGAACCGCGGAAGUCGGUGGCAUCCGGAAUUAGCGUCAGGCUAACCCAGUGGCGUAUUACUUCCAGUUCGUCCAGCUACGCUGAAGCACGGACGUUGCCUUCGGUCCGCAGCGCGGCGCGUUGCGGCCAAAGUACGCAUCCCAGGCCUCCGCUUCUGGUCCACUCCAGCAACGUCCCUGCGCCCUGCCGUGUUCCAGACGCAUGGCGUGCAGCGUCUGUCGACCGACCGUCUGUGCACUUCUGCACCAGCCUCACAGCUACAUGUUUCCUGGCGAGUGAAGAAACCUGCACGACCCGCCCUGCAGUAUGUUGA
Molecule: long non-coding RNA, 1397 nt
Organism: Dermacentor albipictus
Lineage: Eukaryota; Metazoa; Arthropoda; Arachnida; Ixodida; Ixodidae
Source: RefSeq, a predicted model, not a curated record